CGGACGCGACAGGCGAGAGAGAAGGAGACGGAGAGAGCUCCAUCUCGCCAUGGCUCCUUGCUCCCUUUCUUCCUAUUCUUAUAGAAGGAUUUAACUCCAAUGGGCUCUUCUUGGCGUUACCUUGUUGGCCUCUGAUCAGAGAUCAUCAUCGAGGAUUUCCACCGUCGAUAGAUGCAUGCGAGAUCGCAUAGCAUUGUUUAGGCGUUGCAGCACAUCCAGGAGAACACAGAUGAGGUUGGCCCUGCAGGAUGGAGGCCUCGAGAGAAGUCCAUGAAGCCAGACCCUCAACAAGGAGUGCCUUGCAGGGGAACAGUAUAAUUGCAACUACAGCAAAAGGCAUUCCAUUGUCUGAAAUAGUUAGGAGUUUUGUCACUCUUAGUGCAUUUACCCAACAUUCUCUUAUUGUAAUAUAAUGUUUUGCCAUUAUUGAGCUUCAGACAUCUAGUACUUGACCCAAUGCUUAAACUGUAUGCAAUGAAGCAGAAGCACUCUGGACUCAUAAACCACAUGUUGUCAGAUUUUGGGCAUGAGUUCAUUAUGAGAUAAAGCAGAUCUCCACUUUGCAGCUUUUGUGCAAGCAAGAAGCACUCUGGACUCAGAAGCCACAUGUCAGAUUUUCAGCAUGAGUACAUUGUGAGACAAAGCAGAUCUCCACUUUGCAGCUUUCGUGCAAGCAAGGUUUUCUUAUGUGAACAGGGGACUGAUUGGGCAGCACACCACGGGUUCAAUCAAAGCUUUGCAGUUUUGCAAACAAUGCUUGGGCUUUGUUAAAUUCAUGUGUGAAAUUUUCCAAAAAAUACAUUCAUUGAUACAGACUGUCACAUUCAUGAACGUAGAAGUUUCAAGCUUUAAAAGAGUUUUCACAUUUUCUUUCUCUGUUCAACCUAGUGAUGGACCACCUUUUCCCAAUUCCGAGGGCUUAUUUAGGCUUCUAAUAGCAGUCACGAUGUUGGAGUUAUACUCAACAGAGGCUUAUGGUCUUAUUUGUUGGAUUUCGACUGUAAGUACAGAAAGUAAUUGAGCAAGCAAACCUGUAGAGAGAAUUUACUUUGCAUUUUAUGAUCUCGAUUUAUAGCCUAGGCCCUGAUAAGAUUCUCAUGUCCAAGGCACCAUGUCCAUGUCCAUGA
Musa acuminata AAA Group (dessert banana) is the source of this 1127-nucleotide long non-coding RNA. RefSeq lists it as uncharacterized. The record is from RefSeq and is a predicted model, not a curated record. The transcript is spliced from 4 exons. Lineage: Eukaryota; Viridiplantae; Streptophyta; Magnoliopsida; Zingiberales; Musaceae.